This 329-nucleotide unclassified non-coding RNA is filed under the name soil metagenome. Its description in RNAcentral is "partial contains 5.8S ribosomal RNA, internal transcribed spacer 2, and large subunit ribosomal RNA". The stretch from base 1 to 120 matches the Rfam family "5.8S ribosomal RNA", at positions 35 to 154 of the family's 154-position model. The record is from RNAcentral.
GAUGAAGAACGCAGCGAAAUGCGAUAAGUAAUGUGAAUUGCAGAAUUCAGUGAAUCAUCGAAUCUUUGAACGCACAUUGCGCCCCUUGGUAUUCCGAGGGGCAUGCCUGUUCGAGCGUCAUUAUAACCCCUCAAGCUCAGCUUGGUGUUGGGGCCUGCUGCACUAGCAGCCCUUAAAAUCAGUGGCGGCGCCAUCUGGCUCUAAGCGUAGUAAUUCUUCUCGCUAUGGAGUCCUGGUGGAUGCUUGCCAUCAACCCCCAAUUUUUCUAUGGUUGACCUCGGAUCAGGUAGGGAUACCCGCUGAACUUAAGCAUAUCAAUAAGCGGGGGA